UACGAAGGGUGCAAGCGUUACUCGGAAUUACUGGGCGUAAAGCGUGCGUAGGUGGUGAGUUUAAGUCUGUCGUGAAAGCCCGGGCUCAACCUGGGAAUGGCGAUGGAUACUGGCUCGCUAGAGUGCGGUAGAGGAGAGUGGAAUUCCCGGUGUAGCAGUGAAAUGCGUAGAGAUCGGGAGGAACAUCAGUUGCGAAGGCGGCUCUCUGGACCAGCACUGACACUGAGGCACGAAAAGCGUGGGGAGCAAACAGG
This 254-nucleotide ribosomal RNA is filed under the name uncultured bacterium. RNAcentral describes it as "partial 16S ribosomal RNA". It matches the Rfam family "Bacterial small subunit ribosomal RNA", at positions 524 to 776 of the family's 1533-position model. The record is from RNAcentral.